Long non-coding RNA from Branchiostoma belcheri (Belcher's lancelet), 401 nucleotides. RefSeq lists it as uncharacterized. The transcript has 3 exons. Lineage: Eukaryota; Metazoa; Chordata; Leptocardii; Amphioxiformes; Branchiostomatidae. The record is from RefSeq and is a predicted model, not a curated record.
GAGAUCCAAUCAUGACCUUGGGCUAUCGGAAAAAAAUAUUUUGAGCUGGCUCGAGCCCUGUAACGUUAUCUUGUAUUUAACCUCCUUGAUAUACACAGGGAUAUACACACGUGUACUUCAUUUCAUUUCAUAUAUUGUAUACUUGUUUUGUAGUGGCGAUGAAGAUCCAGCGAAGCAAAAACCAGCGCCCAAAGUUGAAGUUCCCAAACCGAAGCCGCAGGAUACCAUUGACCAUCCCCCUUUGCCGAAGUACCCACCAAGCGAACUCUUGUAAGUGAUUUUUGUGUUUCGUUUGUCACAAUUUUAAACAUAAAUUAUGAACAACAUUACCACGUCCAACAUCAAAGACUUAACUGCUAAGUUAACACUUUUUUUGUAUUUUUUCCAGCAACCGGCCAAUG